RNAcentral lists this long non-coding RNA (273 nucleotides) under Elaeis guineensis (African oil palm). RNAcentral describes it as "long non-coding RNA (EGUI_LNC012587)". Lineage: Eukaryota; Viridiplantae; Streptophyta; Magnoliopsida; Arecales; Arecaceae. The record is from RNAcentral.
CAUGCCUCCUCUCUCUCUCUUUCUCUCCUUAGUAUACAAUUCAAUUAUUAUGCUAUGAUAGUUAGAGGCCCUUCCUAUUUAUAGAGGAUUCUCCAUGACCUAUAAGACUAGGAUUCUUAAUUCAAACAGACUUUGAAUUAAUCCAUCACUUAUCCAAGAAGGAAUCCUAAGGAAGAAAGAAUUGGUGCCUAACUAGGUGCCCUUAUGCACCCAUGCUCACACCCAAUGUGAGGUGACAAGAACCAACACCCCAUCUAGUUUUGAUCGGCCAUG